AAAAAAAAAAAAAAAAUUAUUGUUUUUUUAGAGACAGGGUGUCACUGUGUUGCCCAAGCUGGUGUCGAACUCCUGGCUCGAGUGAUCCUCUUGCCUCAGCCUCCCUCAUGCUGAUUAGAGGCACGAGCCACCACACCAAGCCUAGUUCUUACUUUGGCAAUAACGUAUGGAAAAGAGGGGGCACCUAGGAGCCUGCAGCACUUCUGUGACAACCUGUGUGUCCCUCUGUGAAAUUGCUUAUUUGAUUCUUCCUUGAACUGUUCCCAUGGGAAACUCACUUGUAAGACUCUAAGUGCGGGGCGGAGCGUCAUCUCCGAGUCUCCCACACGUACCACAUGUGGGGCAUAAACGUGUGUGCUGAGAGGCUUGAGCUAUGACCCCCACAAGUGCACAUCAAGCUCUGCGGCCCCCAGGCAGAUGCUGUGCUGCAGUCAGAGGGCAGAGAAGCUGGGAAGGAGAUGGCCAGUGUGUGGAAGGCAGCAUGACAGCAACCGCCCAAGAUGUCCCCAUCCUAAUCCCAGGUCCCAGGAGUAUGUUCCCUUCCGUGGCAAUAGGGACUUUGCACACGUAAGUGAAGCGUCUGGAGAUGUGAGGGUUAUUCUGGAUGAUCAGAGUCACCCAGUGUCAUCACAGAGUCUUUGUAAGGCAAAGACAGACACAGACUCAGAGAAGGAGAGGUGACGACGGAAGCAGAGGCAGGAACUCUGGCGGGAAGAAUGCAGGCGGCCUCUAGAACUGGGAAAGACAGGAGUGGAUUUCCCCAGAGCCUGCAGAGGGAACUCAGUCCUGCCGAUGCCUUGAUUUAGCCCUGUGGGACCCACACUGGAUGCCUGACUCGGGUUGAGUAACUCGUGAACAGCAUUUCUCAAGUGGCUGCCAUGGUUUGGUUUUGUUUUUUCUAUUUUUUUUUUUUUUUUUUGGUAGAGAUGGGGUCUUGCUAUGUUGCCCAGGCUGGUCUUGAAUGGUCAGAGAAUAUAUCUGUAUUGCUUUAAGCCACAGGGUUUGUGGUCAUUUGUUACAGCAGCAAUAGGAAACUCAUCCACAGUGACAAAUGGGAACUCAGAGCUACCAGGGAGGUGUCAUUUUGAGAAUUACUAAAAAGAAGAUUGUUCUGUGGCCGCCACACACCUGGGGAGGGGGGUCCUGCUCAGAAUAGGCACCAUUUCAGCAGGCAGGAACCAACUAGGGAAGGGGAAGUCCAAGUGAGAGAGUGCUUUUCACUAGGAAGAGGACCUGGAGACACAGACCUGCGGCAGCACACACAUGGCCUCUGAACAGAACACUUUUCUAGCCCACACUUCAGAGUACUUUGCCAGGCGCAGUGGCUCAUGCUUGUAUUCCCAGCACUUUGGUAGCUGAGGCAGGUGGAUCACCUGAGGUCAGGAGUUCGAGACCAGCCUGGCCAACAUGGUAAAACCCCGUCUCUACUAAAAAUACAAGGAUUCUCCCUCUCCCUCUCCCUCUCCCUCUCCCCCCGGUCUCCCUCUCCCUCUCUUUCCACGGUCUCCCUCUGAUGCCGAGCCGAAGCUGGACUGUACUGCCGCCAUCUCUGCUCACUGCAACCUCCCUGCCUGAUUCUCCUGCCUCAGCCUGCCGAGUGCCUGCGAUUGCAGGCGCGCGCCGCCACGCCUGACUGGUUUUCGUAUUUUUUUGGUGGAGACGGGGUUUCGCUGUGUUGGCCAGGCUGGUCUCCAGCUCCUAACCAGGAGUGAUCUGCCAGCCUUGGCCUCCCGAGGUGCCGGGAUUGCAGACGGAGUCUCGUUCACUCAGUGCUCAAUGUUGCCCAGGCUGGAGUGCAGUGGCUUGAUCUCAGCUCGCUACAACCUCCACCUCCCAGCCGCCUGCCUUGGCCUCCCAAAGUGCCGAGAUUGCAGUCUCUGCCCGGCCGCCACCCCGUCUGGGAAAUGAGGAGCGUCUCUGCCUGGCCGCCCAUCGUCUGGGAUGUGAGGAGCCCCUCUGCCCGGCUGCCCAGUCUGGGAAGUGAGGAGCGCCUCUUCCCGGCCGCCAUCCCAUCUAGGAAGUGAGGAGCGUCUCUGCCCGGCCGCCCAUCGUCUGAGAUGUGGGGAGCGCCUCUGCCCCACUGCCCCGUCUGGGAUGUGAGGAGCGCCUCUGCCCGGCCGCGACCCCGUCUGGGAACUGAGGAGUGUCUCUGCCCGACCGCCACCCCGUCUGGGAGGUGAGGAGUGUCUCUGCCUGCCCGCCCCGAGAAGUGAGGAGCCCCUCCGCCCGGCAGCCACCCCAUCUGAGAAGUGAGGAGCCCCUCUGCCUGGCAGCCACCCCGUCUGAGAAGUGAGGAGCCCCUCCGCCCAGCAGACACCCCGUCUGGGAAGUGAGGAGCGUCUCCGCCCGGCAGCCACCCCGUCCGGCAGCCACCCCGUCCGGGAGGGAGGUUGGGGGCAGCCCCCGCCCGGCCAGCCGCCCCGUCCGGGAGGGAGGUGGGGGUCAGCCCCCGCCCGGCCAGCCGCCCCGUCCGGGAGGUGAGGGGCGCCUCUGCCCGGCCGCCCGUACUGGGAAGUGAGGAGCCCCUCUGCCCGGCCACCACCCCGUCUGGGAGGUGUACCCAACAGCUCAUUGAGAACAGGCCAUGAUGACGAUGGCAGUUUUGUGGAAUAGAAAAGGGGGAAAGGUGGGGAAAAGAUUGAGAAAUCGGAUGGUUGCUGUGUCUGUGUAGAAAGAAGUAGACAUGGGAGACUUCAUUUCGUUCUGUACUAAGAAAAAUUCUUCUGCCUUGGGAUGCUGUUGAUCUAUGACCUUACCCCCAACCCUGUGCUCUCUGAAACAUGUGCUGUAUCCACUCAGGGUUAAAUGGAUUAAGGGCGGUGCAAGAUGUGCUUUGUUAAACAGAUGCUUGAAGGCAGCAUGCUCCUUAAGAGUCAUCACCACUCCCUAAUCUCAAGUACCCAGGGACACAAACACUGCGGAAGGCCGCAGGGUCCUCUGCCUAGGAAAACCAGAGACCUUUGUUCACUUGUUUAUCUGCUGACCUUCCCUCCACUAUUGUCCUAUGACCCUGCCAAAUCCCCCUCUGCGAGAAACACCCAAGAAUGAUCAAUAAAAAAAAUAAAAUAAAAUAAAAUAAAUACAAGAAUUAGCCAGGCGUGAUGGUGGGCGCCUAUAAUCCCAGCUACUUGGGAGGCUGAGACAGGAGAAUCAUUUGUACCCAGGAGGUGGAGGUUGCAGUGAGCCAAGAUCGUGCCACUAUACUCCAGCCUGGGCAACAGAGUGAGACUCCGCCUCAAAAAAAAAAAAAAAAACUAUUUUAUUAAGGAACACCUCUGCUGCUGGACAAUACUCUACCAAGUGCUAGAAAUACGCAGGUCUCCAGCUACUCAGGAGGAGGUUGAGGCAGGAGAAUCACUUGAGCCCAGGCGUUCAAAUCCAGCCUGGCCAACAUGAUGAUACCCCUGUUUCUAAAAGAAAAUUUUUUAAUUAAAAAAAUUUUAAAAAGAGGGUGUGGUAGCUCAGGCCUGUAAUCCCAGCACUUUGGGAGACGGAGGUAGGAGGAUCAUCUGAGUCCAGGCGUUUGAGACCAGCUUCAUCAACAUGGCGAGACCCCCAUCUCCACAAAAAGUUAUAAAAAUAAAAAUAAAUGAGCCAGGCAUGGCGGUGCACACCUGUGGUCCCAGCUACUGCAGGAGGUGAGGCAUGAGGAUCACUUGAGCCCUGAGCCCGGGAGGUCAAGGCUGCAGUGAGCUGUGUUUGUGUCACUGCACUCCAGCCUGGGCGACAGUGAGGCCCUGUCUCAAAAAAACAAAAACAAAAAUAAAUAUGCAGUUGUCCAAGACUCACGGUCAGGCCUAGGCAUGAACCUCACCAAAAGCCUUUUUCUCUAGCUUACCAGCAAAACAGAAUAAGGCUAAACUAGCUCAAGCCGCCUCACCCUCCAAGCACCUUCAGAUCUCCCUGGACAGAGACACACCCUCCUUUUCACCCCGGAACUUGUUGGUAUAAAACCCUGGAAUAAAUGGCACAUGAGCCAAUCGCUCCAUAACUCCAUCUCAUCCCCAGAAACACAGUGGGAACCCAAAUUCCCAGAAAGAGAGUAAAAGGAUGAAACUCUCCUAGGUGCGUUCAGUUCCUCAUACUCACCUAAAAUGCUUGGUCACACGUCCCGACAGGUAGCAGAAUGAGGGUGACCCCAUAUUCCUCUUACAGAUGAGGGAAUUCACACAGAAAGGGUAUGUGGUGUCAGUGGCCAGGUCUAGGCCACCAGGAGGCAAGACAGAACCCCAGCCUCCUCCUCCCUACACAGCGCCGCCUCCCUCUGACUAAUGCGACACUUCUCAAUGAGCUAGAAUCAAAAGUUGUAGGAAUUCACAAUUCCCACACCCAAAGGACCUCACUAGCAUAUACCAUCGCCCUCAAUUUUCCCCCAGCUCCUGUCUUCCCUCCUUUCUCACCAUCAGCAUUUUCUUUUACAGCAUCUACCAGCUGGGCGCGGUGGCUCAUGCCUGUAAUCCCAGAACUUUGGGAGGCCCAGGCGGGCGGAUAACAAAGUCAAGAGUUCGAGACCAGCCUGGCCAACAUGGUGAAACCCCGUCUCUACUAAAAAGACAAAAAUUAGCCGGGUGUGGUGGUGCGCACCUGUAGUUCCAGCUACUUGGGAGGCUGAGGCAGGAAAAUUGCUUGAACCCAGGAGGCAAAGGCUACAGUGAGCCGAGAUCGCACCACUGUACUCCAGCCUGGGGACAGAGCGAGACUCCAUCACACACACACAAAAAUAAUUUAAAAAAUAAAGCAUCUACCUGUGGCUGUGAAAGACAUGGCAGUUCCACUCACUCCCACUCUGGUGUUGAGACAGCAAAUUUCAAAAGAGAGGAGCACCGCUCUGGGGCAGCACCUAAGAGCACAGCCUUCUCCAUCCCAUCCCAGAGCCUGGACACAGUCACCUCACCCCAUUUUAUCAGUGGUGACAGGGGCUGUUUCCCAGGCCUUCUCACUCUGAAAUUUAUCUCUAGAUUUCAGGCAACAAACUGUGGCCAGCUACAGGAACAUUCUAGAAAAAAAGUGGGGACAAAAGCAAUAACCAUGGUAAUGUGCACUCGUUAAAGGGCCUCCUGAAAAAGAGACAGGGAGACCAGCACCGAGGGAAGGAAAAAGGGGUGGCAGGAGAGGGAAGAGACGAGACAGUCAAAAAGGAGAAACCCAAAAUAUAAUUAAGCAGUGGCUCACACCUGUAAUCCCAGCAGUUUGGGAGGCUGAGGCAGCCAGGUCACCUGAGGUCAGGAGUUCAAGACCAGCCUGGCCAACAUGGUGAAACCCCAUCUCUACUAAAAAUACAAAAAUUAGCCAGGCAUGGUGGCGGGCACCUGUAGUACCAGCUACCUGGGAGGCUGAGGCAGGAUAAUCACUUGAACCUGGGAGACAGAGGCUGCAGUGAGCCAAGAUCGCACCACUGCACUCCAGCCUGGGGGACAGAGUGAGACUCCAUCUCAAAAAAAAAAAAAAAAAGAAAAAAGAAAAAGAGAAGCAGUCAAGGGAAAAAAAUGGGUUCGGGUUUGUCCAUCGUUUCUGACCUAUGUAAAUUGAUGGUAAUUAACUAACAGCAGCCAGGCGCCCGUCCCAGCCCCAAUAUUUUAGUAUUUUCUACAGAGAGGCCUGACCUUCAGAGCUAUCUCAAGGGGUGGCCUCCUAGAGCCCCCUGCAAUGGUCACUCUUGGUUCCUAGUGUCUGUGACCCAGCAACCCUGACCUGCACCCUGAGAAGAGGCAACAGCACUGAUGAGGCUGAGCCUGGUGGUCUCCAGACUCCCAAGAGAAACCGUAAGAAACUGUAAGACCCCUUUCCCAGCAGUGACAGACAAGGCAAGCCUGCAGCACCUGCUGCCUUCAUAUCUGGGAAACGGUUAGUGGGUCCCUCAUAUAAAAACAAUGUUUUA
RNAcentral lists this long non-coding RNA (5878 nucleotides) under Homo sapiens (human). RNAcentral's name for it is "HSALNT0370978". Lineage: Eukaryota; Metazoa; Chordata; Mammalia; Primates; Hominidae. The record is from RNAcentral.